AGUUCCGAUCAUGGCUCAGAUUGAACGCUGGCGGGAUGCUUUACACACAUGCAAGUCGAACGGCAGCACGGACUUCGGUCUGGUGGCGAGGGCGAACGGGUGAGUAAUGUAUCGGAACGUGCCUAGUAGGGCGGGGAUAACUACGCGAAAGCGUAGCCACGGUCAGCAUACACGUAUUCUUCUCGGGGGAAAGCGGGGACCUUCGGGCCUCGCACCAUUAGAGCGGCCGAUAUCGGAUUAGCUAGUUGGUGGGGUAACGGCUCGCUCAAGGAUGAUCCGUAGCUGGUUUGAGAGGACGACCAGCCACACUGGGACCGAGACACGGCCCAGAUCGCAUGGGAGGCAGCAGUGGGGAAUUUUGGAUAAUGGGGAAACCCUGAUCCAGCCAUCCUGCGUGUGCGAUGAAGGCCUUCGGGUUGUAAAGCACUUUUUUUGGCAGGAGGGAAACGGCACGGAUAAUACCCCGUGCAACUGACGGUACCUGCAGAAUAAGCACCGGCUAACUACGUGCCAGCAGCCGCGGAAAUACGGUAGGGUGCAAGCGUUAAUCGGAAUUACUGGGCGAAAAGCGUGCGCAGGCGGUUCUGGAAAAGAAAGAUGUGAAAUCCCCAGAGCUUAACUUUGGAACUGCAUUUUUAACUACCGAGCCGAUGUGUGUCAGAGGAGGUGGAAUUCGCGUAGCAGGAAAUGCGUAGAUAUGGAGGAACACUGAUGGCGAAGGCAGCCUCCUGGGGGAUAACACUGACGCUCAUGCACGAAAGCGUGGGAGCAAACAGGAUUAGAUACCUCAGUAGUCCACGCCCUAAACGAUGUCAACUAGCCGUUGAGCCUUCGGGCCUUGGUAGCGCAGCCAACGCGAAGUUGACCGCCUGGGGAGUACGGUCGCAAGAUUAAAACUCAAAGCAAUUGACGGGGACCCGCACAAGCGGUGGAUGAUGUGGAUUAAUUCGAUGCAACGCGAAAAACCUUACCUACCCUUGACAUGCUCAACUCAAGAGAUUUGGGAGUGCUCGCAAGAGAACCGGAACACAGGUGCUGCAUGGCUGUCGUCAGCUCGUGUCGUGAGAUGUUGGGUUAAGUCCCGGCAACGAGCGCAACCCUUGUCAUUAGUUACGCCGGGCACUCUAAUGAGACUGCCGGUGACAAACCGGUGAAGGUGGGGAUGACGUCAAGUCCUCAUGGCCCUUAUGGGUAGGGUCGGCUAUCAGUCAUACAAUGGUCGGGACAGAGGUCAACCCGCGAGGGGGAGCCAAUCCCAGAAACCCGAUCGGUCCGGAUCGCAGUCUGCAACUCGACUGCGUGAAGUCGGAAUCGCUAGUAAUCGCGGAUCAGCAUGUCGCGAUGAAUACGUUCCCGGCCUUGUACACACCGCCCGUCACACCACAGGAGUGGGUUUUACCAGAAGUAGUUAGCCUAACCGUAAGGAGGGCGAUUACCGUAGGAUCUUAUGACUGGGGUGUCGCAUUAUGUAGC
RNAcentral lists this ribosomal RNA (1473 nucleotides) under uncultured Bordetella sp. Its description in RNAcentral is "partial 16S-23S ribosomal RNA intergenic spacer". It matches the Rfam family "Bacterial small subunit ribosomal RNA". Lineage: Bacteria; Pseudomonadati; Pseudomonadota; Betaproteobacteria; Burkholderiales; Alcaligenaceae. The record is from RNAcentral.